This 774-nucleotide ribosomal RNA is filed under the name uncultured bacterium. RNAcentral's name for it is "bacterial SSU rRNA". It matches the Rfam family "Bacterial small subunit ribosomal RNA", at positions 8 to 796 of the family's 1533-position model. The record is from RNAcentral.
AGAGUUUGAUCCUGGCUCAGGACGAACGCUGGCGGCGUGCUUAACACAUGCAAGUCGAACGGUGAACCGCUUUCGGGUGGGGAUCAGUGGCGAACGGGUGAGUAACACGUGAGUAACCUGCCCUUCACUCUGGGAUAACUCCGGGAAACCGGGGCUAAUACUGGAUACGACCUACUCGGGCAUCCGAUGUGGGUGGAAAGAUUUAUCGGUGAGGGAUGGACUCGCGGCCUAUCAGCUUGUUGGUGAGGUAAUGGCUCACCAAGGCGACGACGGGUAGCCGGCCUGAGAGGGCGAUCGGCCACACUGGGACUGAGACACGGCCCAGACUCCUACGGGAGGCAGCAGUGGGGAAUAUUGCACAAUGGGCGAAAGCCUGAUGCAGCGACGCCGCGUGAGGGAUGAAGGCCUUCGGGUUGUAAACCUCUUUCAGCAGGGAAGAAGCGAAAGUGACGGUACCUGCAGAAGAAGCACCGGCUAACUACGUACCAGCAGCCGCGGUAAUACGUAGGGUGCAAGCGUUGUCCGGAAUUAUUGGGCGUAAAGAGCUUGUAGGCGGUUUGUCGCGUCUGCUGUGAAAUUUCGGGGCUCAACCCCGAACUUGCAGUGGGUACGGGCAGACUAGAGUGUGGUAGGGGAGACUGGAAUUCCUGGUGUAGCGGUGAAAUGCGCAGAUAUCAGGAGGAACACCGAUGGCGAACGCAGGUCUCUGGGCCAUAACUGACGCUGAGAAGCGAAAGCAUGGGGAGCGAACAGGAUUAGAUACCCUGGUAGUCC